GAUAAUUUAUUCUGCAUUAUCUUAGUCAUAAUAUUUCUUACUGGGCUAGUUGAGCUCACCCUUUCUUUCACUGUUCUCUUCAGGAAAUGAGAACGUAGCUGGGACGAGUCGGGGAACGGAGUGAUGGUCCGGAUGAUAGUAUUAGCUAGUAGUCCUCACUAUUCUGUUAAAUAGUGUGACAAUAAAUGUAAUGAGGACUUAUUCUGAGAGUGGAUAUUGUCUAGAAGACAGUAUUUAUAUUUAAACUCACAGCUCUUUUGUUGUAUAAUUAAGAUUGUAUUUAUAUUCUGUACCAUGUAUUUGGCGACUCAGAAUAGGUGAUGUAUACCUAUUUUGGGGGCGUCACAUCACUUAUUUUCUUAAUAUACAAUUUAUUACACACAAUCAUACCAUUUGAUAUAUCAUAAUGGUCUUAAGGAACAUGUCAAAACAUAACUCAUCAUACACAAGAUACUAUGAUGAUCUAAAGUUCAACGAUCACUUGUACUACUAUCACUACAGGAAUUCCUAUUGACAGACAAGUAAAGCUCCAUAAGGUAUUCUUUAGCGAGACACGUUCAAUGAACUUAUUCUCCAAUAUGCACUUAUAUACUUAUUUAGUGUCUCCAUACAAAUGAUCAUGAGAUCAAUCAUCCUUAUCCAAUGAACAAGCAACAUAUGUACCAAUCUAUCCAGAUUUACUAAUCCCCUUUUCAGUAAUCCAACGAUUGAGAACAAUUUUAAUUUUAAGUUAUCUUAGAAUUUAGAUCUCAUUAUCAUGAUCAUCAUCAUGAUUAUAAAAACAUUGCUUAAAACUAUGAGUUUAUCACAUAUUAUAAAAAUAGCACCAUGUAGAUAAUUAAAUGUCUUUUAAAUAAUUUUUUUUAUUAAUAAAUGAAUAAGAUUGUUACAAAGUAUAUGUUUUAUCAUCAAACAAGAUUGGCUUGUGUGCAUAUUACUUUCGCUUCAGAUCUUUCCUUUUUUCUUCCAUUUUUUUUCCUUCAUUCUUGGUCCAAUAUCAUCUCCAUCACUUUGAAUUACCUCAUUCCCUAUACUUUCUUUUGCCAGAUAACAUUCCUCUAUCGCAUUUGGAAACCUGGUGGUUUCGAACACAUUGAACUUAAUCUUUUGAUUAUUAAAUCUCAUAGCGAGUUCCCCGUUCUGAACAUCUAUUAAAGUUCUCCCGGUUGCUAAGAAGGGUCCGCCAAGAAUGAGUGGGACCUCCUGAUCUUCUUCACAAUCGAGAAUGAAUAAGUUAAUUGGGAAUACAAAUAUUAUCCACCUUUACUAAAACAUCUUGAUCAACAACACCUCUUGGAUAUGUGAUUGAUCAAUCUGCUAAUUGCAGAGUUAUGUUCGUUGGCUUAAACCCUUUUAAUAUGAGCUUUUCGUAGAUAAAUAGGGGCAUGAGAUUGAUGUUCUCCCUAAUAUCACAUAGAGCUUUCACAAAAAAUUAUUUUUCGAUGGUACAUAGUAUCGUGAAACUCUCAGGAUCUUGCAUCUUUAUAGGUAAUUUCUUCUAAAUCACAUCACUGCAUUCCUCGAUCAAUGCAACCAUAUCAUUCUCACAUAUCCUUCUCUUUUUCAAAAAAAUAUCUUUCAUGAAUUUCACGUAACUAGGCAUUUGUUCUAGUGUUUCUUCAAAAGGUAUAUUGAUUUGUAGCUUUUGAAAACUUCUAAAAACUUUAAAAUUGCUGAUCCAAUUUAUGAUUCUUUAGAUGUUACGGAUAUGGCACAAACGGUAUUUUUGCAUCUUGCUUAACUUCCUUUUUGCUUCAAUUUUACUCCUUCAUUCUUAUUCUCAUCAUUCUUGCUUAAGUCAAUUGCAACAUCUUCUUCCUUUUUUGUGUUCAUUUAAUUUAUCUGCGGGCAUAAUAUCAUCACCUUGCAAACUCUUGUAGCACCUCAGAGUAAUUUCCUUACAAUACUCAUGAUUUUCUUUUCUUGGAUUUACUUCAGUAUCACUUCAGAGUGUUCCUUGUGGACGGUUAUCCACCGCAUUUUCCAGCUGACCUAUCUGAGUUUCCAUGUUCUGAAUUGAUCCUUCUAAGCUAUUGAUUUUUGUAUCAUUUUGAGCAAUGUAUUUUUUCAAUAUUUCUUCUAUGCUCGAUUUCCUUUCUUACUGGUGUUGAGUUUGAUUUUGAAAACCCGGUAGCAGGAAUUAAGUUGGAGCUGAAUUUUGAUUUUGAUUAUUGCUCCAUGAGAAAUUCGGAUGGUUCCUCCACCUCGGAUUAUACUUAUUAGAAUACAUGCCCUGCUUUUUUGCAAUGAAGUUCAUUAUUUUUGGAUUAAUUGCACAUUGACUUGUUUGGUGAUUCCAUGCAUAUAACUCACAUACUGUAGCUAACUGUUAAGUUGGUGGUGUACCCCAUGUAUCAAAUUUCUUUCUCAAUUACACUACUUGUGCAUCUAAUGUAGUUAAGGCAUCAACAUCAAAUUUUCCUCCGACUUUUGGUUGGUUCAUGCUAGUUGUAGGACACUAAUAGUUAUUUGCAGCCAUAGUUUUCAACAAAUCAUAAGUUUCAUCAACAUUUUUAUCCAUCAAGGCUCCUCCUACAGUUGCGUCAAUAUUCGUAUGUGUGAUGUUGAAUAACCCAUUGUAAAAAGUCUAAAAUUGAAUCCAUUUAGGAAGUCUGUGAUGUGAAAAUCUCCUUCGCAUAUCUUUAAACCAUUCGCAAGCCUCAUACGACGAAUCAGAAUCUUUUUGAUUAAAUGAUGAAAUAUCGUUCCUCAUUUUUGCCAUUUUAAGCAGGCGGAAAGAACUUUGCUAAAAUCUUCUGAGCUCGGUCAUCCCACGGCGUGAUUGAACCUGUCAGUAACGAAUGAAAAUAACUAUUUGCCUUGUCAUGAAGUACUUAAGAGUCUCAAUCUCACCGCAUCAUCUGAAACUCCGUUGUACUUAAAAGUAUCACAUAUCUCCAAGAAACUAAUAAGAUGGUCAUUCGGAUCACCAAACUGAACUGAAUUUUAAAUCAUUUGUAUCGUCCAUGGUUUGAUCUCAAAAUUGUUUGCAUGAAUUGUCGGCCUUUGAAUACUUGAAUGAAUCUCUAUCACUUGUGGCAUAUCAUAAUCCUUAAUAGAUUUUUGUUCCUUUUCGGCUACCAUUCUCCUUUAUGUCUUUGCAAUACUUAAGCAACCGUUGAAAUCCUUUUUCAAUAUCGUCCUCGUACAACAAUAAUGCUGGUUGUUUUUGACCGCGUUUACAUACACAAGUCAAAAGCACCUGCAACAAGAAACAAAAUAUGUAAAACAAAAAUACAAUCCACAUUAAAACUAACUGAUGGAAAUUAAUAUUAGCAAAUUAUAUAAGCUAUUAAACAACUCUCUGGCAAUGACGCCAAAAACUUGUUUGCCUAAAACACUACUACCAAUUACAUGCAAGUAUACGAUCACUUAUGCAAUAUAGUGACAAAUAGAGUAUCGUUCCCACGAAGAGCGAAGAAUAAAUUGAAAUACUAAUUACUAAAUAUGCACCAUUUUAAUUGUAUUUAGAAAAAUAAAUUUACUAUUGAAAUGGAUAAAUAUUGAGAUAUAUAAUAUUAUUUUAAUGAAUCAAUUUCCUCCGUUGAAAAAUUUAAUUAAAAAUAUUCUUAUUUCACUAAAUUUAUUAUCAAGAAUUGCCAGUGAAAAAUCACUAAUAAUUUAUAUAAUCAUUUUUCAAAUAAUUAUAUAACAUACUUAUUAUUAUUAAUUUCACUAUAUUUCUAUGAGAAACAAUAAUAAUAAAUUCAUUAAGAUUCAUUUUCCACCCUUUACUUGUGGUAUUCAGGUAUAGUCUUAUCCCGUCUACAAAUUAGCAUUCACUCCUAGGAAGAAUUACUAAUCACAAGUUAUUACGUCUAGAUCUUAAUUUAGAAUCCAAUGUCAAAUUUCAUCUAAAUUCAAAGAAUAAUUGUUGAUCAUGCAAUUAUAAUAAUUAUAAUAAUAAACACAGGACAUAAUAAACAUUUUCAUUCCAUAAUCAAUUUAAAUAAAAAUAAGAAUAAAUAUUAAAUUAAAUCAUCAUUAGGUUCCAUUGAAUCCUUAACUAAUAAUUUAGUUCAUAAUAAAAGUUAAAAACAUGAAUAGUUUAUCAAAGCCAUCCUAAAAUACAAGAUAUAAGAGUUAAAAGAAGAAAGAAUAAAACUCUGAACAAUUCGGUCCUCCUUUCCCUGCUCUCUCUUGCUUAAGGAAAUACUCUCUGAUAACUCUUAUUCUCUGCUACAUACUGAUAAUAAUGAAUUAUUCCCUGAAAAGUAAUUCCCAAUUAUUAGUCUUUUAAUAACUAUUUGAUAAUAAGACUUCAACCCGUAUACAAUAAGUGUAAACCAAUCACAAUGUCAGCCUUAGGAGUUUGAGACCACCUUGACUUCAAUUAUCAAGCGUCAAAUAAAAUCUUGAAUCAAAUAAUCAAAAUAAUUAACCUUCAAAAUUUGUCGGGCGCGAGUCCAACAAGGGCUUGCCAACAUCCCUCUAGCGAUGCCACUUUAACAAUAAGCGUCGGGACUAUUGGAGUACUAAAGGCGAGCGUCGCGACUCAAACUAAAUGGCAACACGACUCUUGAGUUCUUGGUCACUUCCUCUUGACUCAUUUACGCGUCAGUUUUGCCCAAACAAUCUUUCUAACCUGUAGCUUAUAUUAAGGCUAAACUUUAAAAUAAUUCACAUCAUUUACACUAUCAUAGUCUGCAAUCAAUUAUCAACAUAGAACUACUAAAUUACAAUAAAAUAAUACUAAAACACUUAAGAAAUAAGUAAAAUAAUUAAGUCAAGACUAUCAAAUUCAUAAAUAUAAAAUCUACUCAUCAAUCAACCUAACAAUUUUGAUCUUUCUCUA
Molecule: long non-coding RNA, 4795 nt
Filed under: Panax ginseng (ginseng)
Lineage: Eukaryota; Viridiplantae; Streptophyta; Magnoliopsida; Apiales; Araliaceae
Description: long non-coding RNA (PGIN_LNC012746)
Source: RNAcentral